GACGAACGCUGGCGGCGUGCUUAACACAUGCCAGUCGAACGGAAAGGCCCUGCUUUUGUGGGGUGCUCGAGUGGCGAACGGGUGAGUAACACGUGAGUAACCUGCCCUUGACUUUGGGAUAACUUCAGGAAACUGGGGCUAAUACCGGAUAGGAGCUCCUGCUGCAUGGUGGGGGUUGGAAAGUUUCGGCGGUUGGGGAUGGACUCGCGGCCUAUCAGCUUGUUGGUGGGGUAGUGGCUUACCAAGGCUUUGACGGGUAGCCGGCCUGAGAGGGUGACCGGCCACAUUGGGACUGAGAUACGGCCCAGACUCCUACGGGAGGCAGCAGUGGGGAAUAUUGCACAAUGGGCGGAAGCCUGAUGCAGCAACGCCGCGUGCGGGAUGACGGCCUUCGGGUUGUAAACCGCUUUCGCCUGUGACGAAGCGUGAGUGACGGUAAUGGGUAAAGAAGCACCGGCUAACUACGUG
Molecule: ribosomal RNA, 468 nt
Filed under: uncultured bacterium
Lineage: Bacteria
Description: partial 16S ribosomal RNA
Rfam family: Bacterial small subunit ribosomal RNA
Source: RNAcentral